RNAcentral lists this ribosomal RNA (321 nucleotides) under uncultured bacterium. RNAcentral's name for it is "bacterial SSU rRNA". It matches the Rfam family "Bacterial small subunit ribosomal RNA", at positions 202 to 507 of the family's 1533-position model. The record is from RNAcentral.
AAAGCCGGGGACCUUCGGGCCUGGCGCGAUUGGAUGAGCCCACGUCGGAUUAGCUAGUUGGCGGGUAAAGCCCACCAAGGCGACGAUCCGUAGCUGGUCUGAGAGGAUGAUCAGCCACACUGGAACUGAGACACGGUCCAGACUCCUACGGGAGGCAGCAGUAGGGAAUAUUGGACAAUGGGCGCAAGCCUGAUCCAGCCAUGCCGCGUGAGUGAAGAAGGCCCUCGGGUUGUAAAGCUCUUUUGUCCGGAAAGAAAAGCGCCGGGUUAAUACCCUGGUGUCCUGACGGUACCGGAAGAAUAAGCACCGGCUAACUUCGUG